GCCUUGGUGGUGAAAUGGUAGACACAAUUGAUUCAAAAUCAAUCGCUUUUUAAGUAUAGAGGUUCGAAUCCUCUUCAAGGCAC
RNAcentral lists this transfer RNA (83 nucleotides) under Glaukea argentea. RNAcentral's name for it is "tRNA-Leu". It matches the Rfam family "tRNA". From Rfam's summary of the family: Transfer RNA (tRNA) molecules are approximately 80 nucleotides in length. Their secondary structure includes four short double-helical elements and three loops (D, anti-codon, and T loops). Lineage: Eukaryota; Viridiplantae; Chlorophyta; Ulvophyceae; Bryopsidales; Halimedaceae. The record is from RNAcentral.